This 1001-nucleotide long non-coding RNA is filed under the name Nicotiana benthamiana. RNAcentral's name for it is "long non-coding RNA (NBEN_LNC013786)". Lineage: Eukaryota; Viridiplantae; Streptophyta; Magnoliopsida; Solanales; Solanaceae. The record is from RNAcentral.
CUCAAGCAGAUUAAGUUUUUGAUAGAAAAUGAGAAUAGAAGGUAGUCAAGUGGUGCCUGUUUUUUUCUGUAAUCAUGGCAACAGAAGAGACUGAAUACCAUCUUUUUGUAAGGACGGUGGGGUAGACACCAGUUUUGCGUGCACCUCCACUAAUCCACCAGACAAUCUAACUACAGACCACAGGUUCCAGUUAAAUUUGCUCACAAAGGCUGAGCAAAUGGGCUCAUGCUGAGUGUUGUAACUGGGGUCUGAGAUUUGAAGAUCUCGAGAUGUUACUCCUAACCCCUAUGCCUCAACCACUCAGCCAUCACCUUAGGGACGCGUACUGAAUAGUGAAUACCAUCUUAAACAUCAUUUAUCUCACAAGUAAAAGGAAGACACUUCCAAAAUAGAAAAAGCACCACCGGAGUUGAAAUAUCUCUAUUAUUUUCUUUGCCUCAAGUAGCUGGCUGUAAGAUACUACUUCUGCAAUACCAUCUACUAUCACUAGGCCGAAAAAACCAUGAUAUAAUGCAGACAGUUCAUUAGGUUUUUAUACUAUGUCACGCGUAUUGGAUGUUAAGAUGUACCUAACAUAUUAAGAUACAUAGGCACAUCAAAUACUUUUACGGUAAAUUUCAUUAAAUGCUUCUAGUCAAAAUCAUAAUUGAUACUUCUGGUACAUAUAUUUUAUUUUAUUUUUGACAAGUCAAAGGAGAUAACACAACAACAACAACAACAACAACAACAACAAUCCAGUAUAAUCCCACUUAGUGGGGUCUGGGGAGGGUAGUAUGUACGCAGACCUUACCCCUACCCUGGGGUAGAGAGGCUGUUUCCAAAAGAGAUAACACCUUUCACCUAUUUAAGUUAUGAGCGGGAAAUAAAGUAAAAUUUGUUUAGCCUUGUUCAUAGCUGUCAUUGCAUGAUAUCACAAUGUAUAAGCACUCCCAUGAAUACUAUAUUGCAGGAGACCAGAGGGCACAACAAAAGUCAAACAAUUUAGAUGUAAGAACAUAUAU